RNAcentral lists this ribosomal RNA (232 nucleotides) under uncultured bacterium. RNAcentral describes it as "partial 16S ribosomal RNA". It matches the Rfam family "Bacterial small subunit ribosomal RNA", at positions 118 to 347 of the family's 1533-position model. The record is from RNAcentral.
UGAGCAAUCUGCCCUUCUCAUCGGAAUAAGCGUUGGAAACGACGUCUAAUGCCGAAUACGACCUCCUUUCGCAUGAUCGGAGGUGGAAAGCUCCGGCGGAGAAGGAUGAGCUCGCGGCCUAUCAGCUAGUUGGUGUGGAUAACGGCCCACCAAGGCGACGACGGGUAGCCGGCCUGAGAGGGUGACCGGCCACACUGGGACUGAGACACGGCCCAGACUCCGUACGGGAGCA